Molecule: ribosomal RNA, 1368 nt
Filed under: Shigella flexneri
Lineage: Bacteria; Pseudomonadati; Pseudomonadota; Gammaproteobacteria; Enterobacterales; Enterobacteriaceae
Description: bacterial SSU rRNA
Rfam family: Bacterial small subunit ribosomal RNA
Source: RNAcentral
ACCGCAUAAUGUCGCAAGACCAAAGAGGGGGACCUUCGGGCCUCUUGCCAUCGGAUGUGCCCAGAUGGGAUUAGCUUGUUGGUGGGGUAACGGCUCACCAAGGCGACGAUCCCUAGCUGGUCUGAGAGGAUGACCAGCCACACUGGAACUGAGACACGGUCCAGACUCCUACGGGAGGCAGCAGUGGGGAAUAUUGCACAAUGGGCGCAAGCCUGAUGCAGCCAUGCCGCGUGUAUGAAGAAGGCCUUCGGGUUGUAAAGUACUUUCAGCGGGGAGGAAGGGAGUAAAGUUAAUACCUUUGCUCAUUGACGUUAUCCGCAGAAGAAGCACCGGCUAACUCCGUGCCAGCAGCCGCGGUAAUACGGAGGGUGCAAGCGUUAAUCGGAAUUACUGGGCGUAAAGCGCACGCAGGCGGUUUGUUAAGUCAGAUGUGAAAUCCCCGGGCUCAACCUGGGAACUGCAUCUGAUACUGGCAAGCUUGAGUCUCGUAGAGGGGGGUAGAAUUCCAGGUGUAGCGGUGAAAUGCGUAGAGAUCUGGAGGAAUACCGGUGGCGAAGGCGGCCCCCUGGACGAAGACUGACGCUCAGGUGCGAAAGCGUGGGGAGCAAACAGGAUUAGAUACCCUGGUAGUCCACGCCGUAAACGAUGUCGACUUGGAGGUUGUGCCCUUGAGGCGUGGCUUCCGGAGCUAACGCGUUAAGUCGACCGCCUGGGGAGUACGGCCGCAAGGUUAAAACUCAAAUGAAUUGACGGGGGCCCGCACAAGCGGUGGAGCAUGUGGUUUAAUUCGAUGCAACGCGAAGAACCUUACCUGGUCUUGACAUCCACGGAAGUUUUCAGAGAUGAGAAUGUGCCUUCGGGAACCGUGAGACAGGUGCUGCAUGGCUGUCGUCAGCUCGUGUUGUGAAAUGUUGGGUUAAGUCCCGCAACGAGCGCAACCCUUAUCCUUUGUUGCCAGCGGUCCGGCCGGGAACUCAAAGGAGACUGCCAGUGAUAAACUGGAGGAAGGUGGGGACGACGUCAAGUCAUCAUGGCCCUUACGACCAGGGCUACACACGUGCUACAAUGGCGCAUACAAAGAGAAGCGACCUCGCGAGAGCAAGCGGACCUCAUAAAGUGCGUCGUAGUCCGGAUUGGAGUCUGCAACUCGACUCCAUGAAGUCGGAAUCGCUAGUAAUCGUGGAUCAGAAUGCCACGGUGAAUACGUUCCCGGGCCUUGUACACACCGCCCGUCACACCAUGGGAGUGGGUUGCAAAAGAAGUAGGUAGCUUAACCUUCGGGAGGGCGCUUACCACUUUGUGAUUCAUGACUGGGGUGAAGUCGUAACAAGGUAACCGUAGGGGAACCUGCGGUUGGAUCACCUCCUU